RNAcentral lists this ribosomal RNA (421 nucleotides) under uncultured bacterium. RNAcentral describes it as "partial 16S ribosomal RNA". It matches the Rfam family "Bacterial small subunit ribosomal RNA", at positions 360 to 773 of the family's 1533-position model. The record is from RNAcentral.
AAUAUUUGACAAUGGUGGCAACCCUGAUUCAGCCAUUCCUCGUGUGUGAAUAAGGUCUUCGGAUUGUCAAGCACUUUAAGUUGGGAGGUAGGGCUCUAUGUUAAUACCCUCAAGUUUUUAAGUUACCAACAGAAUAAGUACCCGCUAACUCUCUGACAGCAGCCGCGGUAAUACAGAGGGUGCAAGCGUUAAUCGGAAUUACUGGGCGUAAAGCGCGCGUAGGUGGUUCAGUAAGAUGGGUGUAGAAUCCCCGGGCUUAACCUGGGAACUGCUUUCAUAACUGCUGAGAGAGAGUACGGUAGAAGGUAGUGGAAUUUCCUGUGUAGCGGUGAAAUGCGUAGAUAUAGGAAGGAACACCAGUGGCGAAGGCGACUACCUGGACUGAUACUGACACUGAGGUGCGAAAGCGUGGGGAGCAAAC